UCCGCUUACCGGGCAGCCUAGUGGACAUAGCAUCUGCCCGGUAAGCGGAACACUGUGGGUUCGAUUCCCAUCCCUGGAC
Non-coding RNA from Cordylochernes scorpioides, 79 nucleotides. The record is from the annotation of a GenBank genome assembly. Lineage: Eukaryota; Metazoa; Arthropoda; Arachnida; Pseudoscorpiones; Chernetidae.